GGAGGCUGCUUGGCUUGGUUGCUGAACCAGAGCCCCAGGAGGCCGAAAUGGCCCCACACCUGCACCAUCCCACCUCUUUGUCCAGUCACCCCAGGGCCAGGUGAGGGCCCUGGCCACACGGCGUGCCGUUCCCUUCUUCCCCAUGCCCCACUCAUGGGUCAGAUGGCCGGUGCUGGGUUCCAGACGGUGUCAACAGGGACGGUCCCUGUCCUGCCCAAGGACAGGAGCCUGUGGCCCACAGAGGGUUUCUGGGCCCAGCCGAUCCUGGGGACGGUCCCAUGGCCCUGCCCAUAGGUUCCUGGCCUCUCUCGGGGCCGUGGUGCCCUCACAGGUGUGUGUCAGGAGGACAGGAAAGGCUGCUUGUCCCAGGGGCUCGUGUGGAGACCACCCUCUGCACGCAGCUGGGGCACUCCUGCCUGCGUCCUCAGAAGCACUCGGCUUAGCUUUGCCCGUGUACCUGGGCUGUGGGCCGCAGAGCCCGGCCAGCAUCCUCUGAUCUCUGAGGGCGCAUCUCUACUGGAGGCCCCUCCUGGGCCUCUUGCUCCUCGCUUCCCAGAUCAUUAGGAUAUCUGGGGUCCAGAAGGGCCUCCCAGUCAUCCUGGGCCUUGUCCUCCAGGGCCACCAGUCCAGCCAGUGACAACCACAGCAUCCCCGGCCUGGAACGAGGCUGCCCCCAGCACGUUCCUCGUACUCCUGUCCAGGGACAGGAGGGGCUGCCCCUGCCACCGAGUCCCCUUCUCCAGGACCUGGGGCCUGUGGGUGUGAGGCAGGUGUUCUUGGAAGGGGUCACUCUCCAGGCACCUGGCGGCCAAGCCUUGUGGCUGGAGCAGCUCCCGCUGCUGGGUCGGCGUCGGGCCCCGUGUGGCCGGAGAGGAGCUGAAGGGUCACUUAGCUUCGGGCUGGGGCAAGGACAGGGGACACCCCAGAGAGGUGUGCCAGGCCUCCUUCCUGCGCCCCACUCUCGGCGGAAGCAGAGGUCACAGGCUGUGCUGAGGCCCCAUGGUGCUGCCCCUACGAUGCCAGGGUGAGGCUGGCGUUGGAAGCAGGUGUCUGACCUGCAUGGUGUCACUGUGGCCACAUCAGAGCUCCAGCCCCAGAGCCGCCCACCCUCAGGCCUUGGCUGUGGUUUCCCUGGGCUGGAGGAGCCUGCCGUGGUGUUGGCCACACGACCACAGGACCUGCCACCCCCGACAUGGGCUCUGCCUGGGUCCCCACUGGACGGGGGGACCCCUUGGAGCUCCUCUGGCCACCAAGUCCUAGCCCAUUCCAGAAUUGGCCUUCUGGAGCCUCUUGCUGUCCCUGAUGCGGGCUGGGCCUUGCCAAGGGCUUUUUUUCCAGCACUGGGAACAGGGUGGAUUUGCUGGGCUCACUCCACUCAGAGAAGCUGCAGGUGUGGUGGGUUAGGUCUGAGGGCGUUAGAGAGGAGCCUGGGGUGGGGCUGGGGCCUGGCAGGGGAUCUGGCAGCCCUGGGCCUCCCACCUCCUGUCAGGACCAAAAAAGGCAACACGCCCCUCCUGACCUGUACCCCUGAGUGAACCCAACCUUGCAACCCCGGAGUGUCAGGGCCUGAGGGGAGGGAGACCUGGCUCCUGGGCGCCGUGCCCGUAAGGAGGUGGCCACCUGCAGGGCAUUCCUGGCAGAGGCUUCAUCUGGCCAGGUAUGAGGCUGGGUGGCCGAGCCCCAGAUCUGGGCGUGUUCUCUGCCUGGUGGUGGGUCCUGCCCCAGGCACCUUCUCACUGGCUGGGCAGGGACAAUGGGCCUGGCUGUGAGAAGGGGGCCUGGGCUGCCUUCUGCAUUGCCGCAGUGACGGGAGAUGGACCCCGCCUGCUGAGGGAUAGGGGAGUGGGCAGGUACUGAGAGACAUUGACAGCUGUCCCGAGGCUACAGGACCCUGUCUGGGUGGCCGGGCCCAUGUCUUGGGCCCACAGUGUGACCCCCACCCUUGGACGGCGCCUUCUUCCUCCCCAGGUGCGGCUGCCCAGCCAGGGGGUGUGGGGGAGUUCGGGAGGGCUGGCUUACACGGCCUGGUCCAGCUGUCCCAGGUGGGGUUCUGGGCUUCAGCCCUCAGCCCAGGGCCUAGGAAGCCAACUUGAUCCCCCCACACAGCAGCCAGGUUCAAAGGCAGGUCCCGUAAUGGAAGUGCUGCUGUGCAGCCAAGAUUGGGGGGCAGGAGCCAGCAGGGCCCCCCACCCUCUUCUCACACCACACUGGGGAGGCAGCAUUGGUGCCAGUUCCGGUUCCUGGGCUGCCCCUCAACCCUGGCCUACAGCGGAGCCCACCCUGUGCCUUCUGAUGCCACUCCCACCCCACGCCGAGUCCCAGAGGCUUUGGGAGUGGGUGAAGGCAGUGGGUGGUGGGUGGCGGGUGCAGGCGGUAGGUGGUGGGUAUGGCAGAUGGUGGGCCACACUGCAGGUGUCAUCCCUGCGAAGCACCUGUCUUCAGCACUCAGAGCACUCGUGAGGCGCACAGUCCCCGUGUGGCCUCCUUAGUCUCCGUCCUGUGUCAUGGAAGAGGCAACUGAGGCACAGAAAGCUCACCGGGCCAGGCUGGGAUGUGAGGUCCCUUGCUGCUCAUCCCUGGCAGUCAGCAACCCUACAUCUUCCCAGCUGGGCAGCCCGUGGUGGGUUCGGCACCCAGGACCCUCGGGAGUCUUAGGCUGUGACGAGUGUGCAGGCACCCACCCGGUGUCUCUCUCCACCCAAGGCAUCUACAUCCUCAUCGCUGUGGGCGCUGUGAUGAUGUUCGUUGGCUUCCUGGGCUGCUACGGGGCCAUCCAGGAAUCCCAGUGCCUGCUGGGGACGUUCUUCACCUGCCUGGUCAUCCUGUUUGCCUGUGAGGUGGCCGCCGGCAUCUGGGGCUUUGUCAACAAGGACCAGGUGAGCCUGGGUGCGCGGGGACAGGGUGGGGUGGGUGAUGGGGGCACCCUCCCCUCCUGUCGCGGGUGGGGUGGGUGAGGGGCACCCUCCUCUCCUGUCGCGGGUGGGGGUUGGGCUGACUCAUGGCUUGUGGGAGCUCUUUGGGCUCCUCCUGGGUCCCACUUUGCUAGGAGGAUCUCCAGGGGCUUUAUGGAGGAGGCAGCACUGGGGCUGAGCACAAGGCCAGCCUCCUGUGUCCCAGCACUCCUGGGGCAGCUGAGAGUGCAGAGUCCUUGUCCUCUGGGGUCUGGCCUCGAAGCCACCCUGCCCAGGGAGAGCCUGGGAAAAGUGCAUCCGCCUGAGGCGGGGCGGGGUGGGGGCAAGGAGGGGGAGGUUCCCCCUGUGCAUGUGACCGCACCCCUCCCCCAGAUCGCCAAGGAUGUGAAGCAGUUCUAUGACCAGGCCCUACAGCAGGCUGUGGUGGAUGACGACGCCAACAACGCCAAGGCUGUGGUGAAGACCUUCCAUGAGACGGUGCGACUCCCAGGGGCGAGGGCGGGGAGCAGGGCCCCGGGAACCCGGCUGGGGUGUGUCUCGUCCUGGAUGAAUCCCGCCUCCGCUCAGACCUCAGGAGCAGGAGGUGCCCUUGGGACCUCCAGGACCCCUGGGCUCAACUGGUCCUCAGGUGGGAACCUAGUAGGCCAGGCUGGCCCAGGGUGUGGAAAGCUCUGAGCAGCGCAGCUGAGGAGGAAGAAGGCUGACCCCUGGAUGCGUUCUGCAGUGGGGAGCGCCGCGUACCCCUGGCCACCUCCCCGUGGGUUCCCUAGAGCCACCGUCCCCCUGGGCACGUCCAGGGCUGACCUCACACCCCUGCUCUCUGCAGCUUGACUGCUGUGGCUCCAGCACGCUGACUGCUCUGACCACCUCAGUGCUCAAGAACAACUUGUGUCCCUCGGGCAGCAACAUCAUCAGCAACCUCUUCAAGGUGCGCCAGGCCGGCGGGGCCGCGCCUGAUCCCCCGCAUGUCCCGCCCCUGGGUGGGGUCCUGGGGGUGGGCAGGUCACGUGGCAGCCCCACGGGGAGCGACCACACUGGGUGGCAUGGCCCCUGUCAGGGCUGCUGUGCCAGGAGGGUCGGGGUGGGACCGCAUCUGGCCCACGAGGAAGGCAGGCGCCCUGUACUGCCCAUUCUGGGUGAAGAAGGUGGAGGCUCUGAGGGUGGGAACUCACCUGUACCCCCAGCUCCACGUGUGCACUCGUGGGUGUGGAUGCCCCCGACAGCCUGUAGCUGGCGGGGCCUGCAGGCCGUAUAGUGCCCUGUGGAAGUUUCCUGCUGAGGCCUCAGUGGAAGUCAGCGGGUGAACAUCAGUGAUGCUUUAGGGAUCUAGUGACACCAAUGACCGUGAUCUCAGUGGAAAAGGGCACAGCGUGUCCCAGACAUUUCGCGUUUAUGUUAAAAUGGGUAGAAGAUAGAAAGCUGGCAGAGGCCAGGCCGCUGCACCCACCUGUUCCGAGGUGGGUAGGGGGUGGGGGGCUGUUCCCAGGAUUCCCCUCUACACGUUCUGUGGUGACCACGGAUUACUGCGUGACAACGGGAAGCCGGGAGCCGAGGCCCGGUCCCUGACCACGCGCGCCUGGCCACCCCUGCAGGAGGACUGCCACCAGAAGAUCGAUGACCUCUUCUCCGGGAAGCUGUACCUCAUCGGCAUUGCUGCUAUCGUGGUCGCCGUGAUCAUGGUGAGCGGGCGGGGGAGGGCCUGUUCUCCGGGCUGCCCCUUCCGCGGGGCCUUGUGCUGACUGCGCCCCCCACCACCCUCCCGCAGAUCUUCGAGAUGAUCCUGAGCAUGGUGCUGUGCUGUGGCAUCCGGAACAGCUCCGUGUACUGAGGCCCCGCAGCUCUGGCCGCAGGGACCUCUGCAGUGCCCCCCAAGUGACCCGGACACUUCCGAGGGGCCAUCACCGCCUGUGUAUAUAACGUUUCCGGUAUUACUCUGCUACACGUAGCCUUUUUACUUUUGAGGUUUUUUGUUCUGAACUUUCCUGUUACCUUUUCAGGACUGACGUCACAUGUAGGUGGCGUGUGUGAGUGGAGACGGGCCUGGGUCUUGGGGACUGGAGGGCAGGGGUCCUUCUGCCCCUGGGGUCCCAGGGUGCUCUGCCUGUUCAGCCAGGCCUCUCCUGGGAGCCACUCGCCCAGAGACUCAGCUUGGCCAACCUGGGGGGCUGUGUCCACCCAGCCCCCCCGCCCUGUGGGCUGCACAGCUCACCUUGUUCCCUCCUGCCCCGGUUUGAGAGCCGAGUCUAUGGGCACUCUCUGCCUUCAUGCACCUGUCCUUUCUAACACGUCACCUUCAACUGUAAUCACAACAUCCUGAAUCCGUCAUUUAAUAAAGAAGGAACAUCAGGCAUGCU
Molecule: small RNA, 5266 nt
Filed under: Pongo abelii (Sumatran orangutan)
Lineage: Eukaryota; Metazoa; Chordata; Mammalia; Primates; Hominidae
Description: retained intron
Source: RNAcentral